ACUCCUAUAGCUCAGUGGGUGAGAGUGUCCGACCGGUGUGCGGAAGGUCAUAGGUUCGACUCCUGUUGGGGGAA
Non-coding RNA from Desmophyllum pertusum, 74 nucleotides. The record is from the annotation of a GenBank genome assembly. Lineage: Eukaryota; Metazoa; Cnidaria; Anthozoa; Scleractinia; Caryophylliidae.